RNAcentral lists this long non-coding RNA (404 nucleotides) under Homo sapiens (human). RNAcentral describes it as "HSALNT0113150". The record is from RNAcentral. Lineage: Eukaryota; Metazoa; Chordata; Mammalia; Primates; Hominidae.
CCUUGGUCCCCAUAGAAACUAAAGUUGCAAAUGGUUACAAAAAAGGAUGACAUCAUGCAGUUCUACAAGACACGGCCAAAUAUCAGUACAAAGCUAACUGGGACCCUUGGUGACCCAAGGUAACUCGGGGUGACAUUUCAUUUUGCUGGAAGAAGAAUAUGUGUUUAACAUGUAUGAUAGUUCUGAACGAAGAUUGAAGCUGUUCUGUAGUUCUGAGGGUUAUCAUACCACUGAGAGUAAAAGCAGGAGUCCACUGGGCAUGGUGUCAUGUGCCUAUAAUCCCAGCUACUCAGGAGGCUGAGGCAGGAGGAUUGCUUGAGACCAGGAGUUUGAGGCCAGCCUGCACAACAUAGCAAGACCCCGUCUCAACAACAACAACAACAACAACAACAACAACAACAACA